UUACGCUGUUAUCCCUAAGGUAAUUUAUUUUAAAAUUCUAAAUUUUAGGUUUAUUAUUACAUUAAUUAAUGGAUUUAUGUUUAAAAGUUUAUUUAAUUUUAAAAUUACCCCAAUUAAAUAUAUAAAUUUAUUUAUUAUUUUAUUAAAUUAAAGAUUAAUUAAUUUAUAUAUUAAAUUCUAAAGGGUCUUCUCGUCUUUUAAUUAAAUUUAAGAAUUUUAACUUAAAAUUUAAUUUAAAUUUUUAUUUUUAUUUAUAUAGUUUAUGUUUCAUUUAAUCUUUCAUACUAGAUUUCAAUUAUAAAACUAAUUAUUAUGCUACCUUUGUACAGUUAUUUAUACUGCAGCCUUUUAAAUUUAUCAAUGGGCAGAUUUGACUUAAUAUUAUUUUCAAUAAGACAUGUUUUUGUUAAACAGGCG
RNAcentral lists this ribosomal RNA (417 nucleotides) under Binodoxys centaureae. RNAcentral's name for it is "partial 16S ribosomal RNA". The record is from RNAcentral. Lineage: Eukaryota; Metazoa; Arthropoda; Insecta; Hymenoptera; Braconidae.